This 253-nucleotide ribosomal RNA is filed under the name uncultured bacterium. Its description in RNAcentral is "partial 16S ribosomal RNA". It matches the Rfam family "Bacterial small subunit ribosomal RNA", at positions 524 to 776 of the family's 1533-position model. The record is from RNAcentral.
UACGUAGGGUGCGAGCGUUAAUCGGAAUUACUGGGCGUAAAGCGUGCGCAGGCGGUUUUGUAAGCCAGAUGUGAAAGCCCCGGGCUUAACCUGGGAAUGGCAUUUGGGACUGCAAGGCUUGAGUGCGGCAGAGGAGACUGGAAUUCCAGGUGUAGCGGUGAAAUGCGUAGAUAUCUGGAGGAACACCGGUGGCGAAGGCGGCAUCCUGGACCGGUAUUGACGCUGAGGCGCGAAAGCUAGGGGAGCAAACGGG